RNAcentral lists this long non-coding RNA (1161 nucleotides) under Coturnix japonica (Japanese quail). Its description in RNAcentral is "lncRNA (ENSCJPG00005019010.1)". Lineage: Eukaryota; Metazoa; Chordata; Aves; Galliformes; Phasianidae. The record is from RNAcentral.
AUGGCGGGGCCGAGGCCAUGCAUUUCCUCCGGGGGCACAAAGCCGGGGGCAGGGUCCUGCCAGCCCCUUGCCGCGGGAGGAUGCGCGCUGCCGCCUCCGAGCGCUGAGCCCAGACCGAGCUCUAACAAAAGCCGGAGAGCCGCGGGCAGGGCGAAAGGAGCCGGCGGCUCCGUCAUCCCAAAGGGCCGAGGGGGACAAGAGGGAGCCGGGGCAAAAGUUCACCGCGGUCCCCGUUGGGGUGCCCGGUGGGGCAGGGGCUGGCGGUGUGCCCGGGGGCUGCCGGCCUGGCUCGGCGCCUCAGAGCCCCGCGGAGGGACAGAGGAGGGGGAAGGGGGCGAUGCGAGUCCCGGGAGCCCCUUCCCUGCCCUCUCCUCCACAAUACGGCCGGAUCCCCGGCGCAAACACGCCCCCCAGCACUCCGAGGCUCCGCUCCCACCCUUCGGAAGGAAAAAAAAUAGAAAAAUUACGGCUCACUUGCAGAGGGUGAAUGGAGAUGGAGAGACGGCUGCUCCGGAGCUGCCGCUCGCUCCCACGCCGGCCGGCCCCGGCGGGCAGCAGCUGCGGCCCCCGCCCCGAGCCCGGCACCGCGAGGAAGGGGCAGCGCACGCCCGUGUGCGCGCACACAGACACAGCAAUAUCACGACAGGAGGGGGAAAGUUUCCAGCCGCUGCAGCCGAAUUGCCCGCAUUUACAACCCCCAGAACCGCACGGUGGCAGAGGCACCGCACGCACGACCCGGCCCCAAAAGCAACGGGGCAGCGCGAGGGGAAGGGGCCCCGGGGCACGGAGAGAGGGCGAGGGGAGAGCAAAAAUCCACGUAUCCCAUUUUGCUUUCCCCGGGAAUGCCGCCGGGGCAGGGCACGGCUACCGCAGAGCAGGGAGGCGAGGGGCCACCACGGCGGCUCUCCCGAGCGGCCCCGUGAAGAUGGGCAAAUAAACAGGGCUGCAAAUAAAGAGCGGGCAGAAGGGCUGGGCUGCAGCGAGACCCGCAGCGCCCGAGCAGGACGCGCGGCCCAUCGCCCCCCCCCGCCCCGCGUUACCUUCUUAGUGCAUCUGGAGCAGCGGCUCUGCUUCCCCUGCUCCUCUCCUGUCCUCUCGGUUUAUACCAGCCUGUUCCUCAUCUCACAGCCUUCCUCCCAGCGCCAUCUUGCAAGCUUGUGA